GAGUGAAUUGGGAACAGUCCAGUGCCGAAUCGUGUUGCUUAGGCAGCAUGACUUGUGGCGUAUAGGCGGUUUGCUCGGCUUCGGCUGAUGGCCCAAGUUUCCCAUGACCGGGGCACCAGAGAAGGUGAUAGACCUGUAGGGCUUGACGCUGUUGUCGAUUGGACUGUCUUGGAGUCGGGUUGUUUGGGAUCGCAGCCCAAAGAAGGUGGUAAACUUCAUCUAAGACUAAAUAUGCCUACGAGACCGAUAGCGAACAAGUACCGUGAGGGAAAGUUGCAAAGCACUUUGAAGAGAGAGUUAAAGAGGACGUGAAACUGGCACGAUGGAAACGGAUAGAGCUAGCGAACUCGUUCGUAUUCAGCCAACGGUUCUGGGUUCGGUUUUGUUGUGUUUCAGUUUUGUGCACGCAGGAUCGAGCGCCUGGGUUCCAAGGUGCAUUUGCGGACGAUUGCGCCGAGACUUGUGGGGCAGCGGUAGGACCCGGUUCAUGAGGCCUCCUUUUGGUUGUACCCUGAACUGGUAUACGACUGUUUGCUCUGCUCGUAAUGUUGGUUCGGCCUCGGGUGAAACUGCCGUUGGCGUUCUCUUGUGGUGGCAACAGCACGCUUUGCCUAACUUGGGGAUUCCGGCUGCGGUGUAGCUCUCGAACUGUCUCUCGGUGUAAAAGCUGGUCAUCUAUCCGACCCGUCUUGAAACACGGACCAAGGAGUUUAGCGUAUGUGCGAGCCACUGGGUAUUGCAAAACCUAUGGGCACAAUGAAAGUGAAGGCUCGGUCGCCGAGCUUACAUGCGACCGUGCUAGCUUCGGCUGGUGCGGGCAGCAUGGUCCCGUUUCAGUCGCUUGCGACGGAGCGGAGACAGAGUGCAUGCGCUGAGACCCGAAAGAUGGUGAACUAUUCCUGAGCAGGACGAAGCCAGAGGAAAC
Molecule: ribosomal RNA, 925 nt
Filed under: Tylenchulus semipenetrans
Lineage: Eukaryota; Metazoa; Nematoda; Chromadorea; Rhabditida; Tylenchulidae
Description: eukaryotic LSU rRNA
Rfam family: Eukaryotic large subunit ribosomal RNA
Source: RNAcentral